This 451-nucleotide ribosomal RNA is filed under the name uncultured organism. RNAcentral's name for it is "partial 16S ribosomal RNA". It matches the Rfam family "Bacterial small subunit ribosomal RNA", at positions 331 to 798 of the family's 1533-position model. The record is from RNAcentral.
GUACACUCCUACGGGAGGCAGCAGUGGGGAAUAUUGGACAAUGGGCGCAAGCCUGAUCCAGCCAUGCCGCGUGAGUGAUGAAGGCCCUAGGGUUGUAAAGCUCUUUCACCGGUGAAGAUAAUGACGGUAACCGGAGAAGAAGCCCCGGCUAACUUCGUGCCAGCAGCCGCGGUAAUACGAAGGGGGCUAGCGUUGUUCGGAUUUACUGGGCGUAAAGCGCACGUAGGCGGACUAUUAAGUCAGGGGUGAAAUCCCGGGGCUCAACCCCGGAACUGCCUUUGAUACUGGUAGUCUUGAGUUCGAGAGAGGUGAGUGGAAUUCCGAGUGUAGAGGUGAAAUUCGUAGAUAUUCGGAGGAACGCCAGUGGCGAAGGCGGCUCACUGGCUCGAUACUGACGCUGAGGUGCGAAAGCGUGGGGAGCAAACAGGAUUAGAUACCCUAGUAGUCCCAU